GAUGAACGCUGGCGGCGUGCUUAAUACAUGCAAGUCGAGCGAAGCACUUUAACGGAAUUCUCCGGAAGGAAGGUAAAGUGACUGAGCGGCGGACGGGUGAGUAACGCGUGGGUAACCUGCCUUAUACAGGGGGAUAACAGUUAGAAAUGGCUGCUAAUACCGCAUAAGCGCACAGGGCCGCAUGGCCCGGUGUGAAAAACUCCGGUGGUAUAAGAUGGACCCGCGUCUGAUUAGCUGGUUGGUGGGGUAACGGCCCACCAAGGCGACGAUGCGUAGCCGACCUGAGAGGGUGACCGGCCACACUGGGACUGAGACACGGCCCAG
This 324-nucleotide ribosomal RNA is filed under the name uncultured bacterium. RNAcentral describes it as "bacterial SSU rRNA". It matches the Rfam family "Bacterial small subunit ribosomal RNA", at positions 28 to 334 of the family's 1533-position model. The record is from RNAcentral.